This 484-nucleotide ribosomal RNA is filed under the name uncultured bacterium. RNAcentral describes it as "partial 16S ribosomal RNA". It matches the Rfam family "Bacterial small subunit ribosomal RNA", at positions 30 to 507 of the family's 1533-position model. The record is from RNAcentral.
AUUGAACGCUGGCGGCAUGCCUAACACAUGCAAGUCGAGCGGUGUAAGCGAGCUUGCUCCUGGAUUCAGCGGCGGACGGGUGAGUAAUGCCUAUUAAUCUGCCUCGUCGUGGGGGAUAACUUCCUGAAACCGGCUCUAAUGCCGCAUACGUCCUGAGUUGGAAAGUGGGGGAUCUUCGUACCUCACGCUAUCAGAUGAGCCUAGGUCCGAUUAGCUAGUUGGUGGGUUAAAGGCCUGACAAGGCGACGAUCCGUAACUGGUCUGAGAGGAUGAUCAGUCACACUGGAACUGAGAAACGGUCAAGACCCCUACGGGAGGCAGCAGUGGGGAAUAUUGGAGAAGGGGAGAAAGCGUGAUCAAGCCAUGUGGGGUGUGGGAAGAAGGUGUUAGGCUUCGAAAGGAAGUAAAGUUGGGAGGAAGGGCAGUAAGUUAAUACCUUGCUGUAAUGACGUUACCAAAAGAAUAAGCACCGGCUAACUUCGUG